RNAcentral lists this ribosomal RNA (141 nucleotides) under Pseudomonas aeruginosa. Its description in RNAcentral is "partial 16S ribosomal RNA". The stretch from base 41 to 141 matches the Rfam family "Bacterial small subunit ribosomal RNA", at positions 1 to 100 of the family's 1533-position model. The record is from RNAcentral. Lineage: Bacteria; Pseudomonadati; Pseudomonadota; Gammaproteobacteria; Pseudomonadales; Pseudomonadaceae.
UGAGCCAAGUUUAGGGUUUUCUCAAAACCCAAGCAGUAUUGAACUGAAGAGUUUGAUCAUGGCUCAGAUUGAACGCUGGCGGCAGGCCUAACACAUGCAAGUCGAGCGGAUGAAGGGAGCUUGCUCCUGGAUUCAGCGGCG